AUACGAAAGGUGCAAGCGUUGUUCGGAUUUACUGGGCGUAAAGAGAGUGUAGGUUGUUUAUUAAGUCGGAUGUGAAAUCCCGGGGCUCAACCUCGGAACUGCAUUCGAUACUGAUAGGCUAGAGUUUGGGAGGGGUAAGCGGAAUUCCGUGUGUAGCAGUGAAAUGCGUAGAUAUACGGAGGAACACCUGAGGCGAAGGCGGCUUACUGGACCAAUACUGACACUGAGGAUCGAAAGCGUGGGUAGCAAACAGGAUUAGAAACCCUAGUAGUCC
This 274-nucleotide ribosomal RNA is filed under the name uncultured bacterium. RNAcentral describes it as "partial 16S ribosomal RNA". It matches the Rfam family "Bacterial small subunit ribosomal RNA", at positions 523 to 796 of the family's 1533-position model. The record is from RNAcentral.